Molecule: ribosomal RNA, 301 nt
Filed under: uncultured bacterium
Lineage: Bacteria
Description: partial 16S ribosomal RNA
Rfam family: Bacterial small subunit ribosomal RNA
Source: RNAcentral
CAGUAGCCUCGGGAAUACGAGGGGGGCAAGCGUUGUUCGGAAUUAUUGGGCGUAAAGGGUGCGUAGGCGGUUUGAUAAGUCUUGUGUGAAAUCUAUGGGCUCAACCCAUAGUCUGCAUGGGAAACUGUCGGGCUUGAGAGUGGGAGAGGUGAGUGGAAUUUCCGGUGUAGCGGUGAAAUGCGUAGAUAUCGGAAGGAACACCUGUGGCGAAAGCGGCUCACUGGACCAUUUCUGACGCUGAUGCACGAAAGCUAGGGGAGCAAACAGGAUUAGAUACCCCGGUAGUCCCUGUCUAUUAUAA